GCUGAAGUAGGUCCCAAGGGUAUGGCUGUUCGCCAUUUAAAGUGGUACGCGAGCUGGGUUUAGAACGUCGUGAGACAGUUCGGUCCCUAUCUGCCGUGGGCGCUGGAGAAUUGGAGGGGGGCUGCUCCUAGUACGAGAGGACCGGAGUGGACGCAUCACUGGUGUUCGGGUUGUCAUGCCAAUGGCACUGCCCGGUAGCUAAAUGCGGAAGAGAUAAGUGCUGAAAGCAUCUAAGCACGAAACUUGCCCCGAGAUGAGUUCUCCCUGAGACUAUAAGUCUCCUGAAGGAACGUUGAAGACGACGACGUUGAUAGGCCGGGUGUGUAAGCGCAGCGAUGCGUUGAGCUAACCGGUACUAAUGAACCGUGAGGCUUAACCUUAC
RNAcentral lists this ribosomal RNA (382 nucleotides) under Klebsiella pneumoniae subsp. pneumoniae KPNIH9. Its description in RNAcentral is "bacterial LSU rRNA". It matches the Rfam family "Bacterial large subunit ribosomal RNA", at positions 2552 to 2925 of the family's 2925-position model. The record is from RNAcentral. Lineage: Bacteria; Pseudomonadati; Pseudomonadota; Gammaproteobacteria; Enterobacterales; Enterobacteriaceae.